This 465-nucleotide ribosomal RNA is filed under the name uncultured bacterium. Its description in RNAcentral is "partial 16S ribosomal RNA". It matches the Rfam family "Bacterial small subunit ribosomal RNA", at positions 339 to 795 of the family's 1533-position model. The record is from RNAcentral.
CUACGGGGGGCACCAGUGAGGAAUAUUGCGCAAUGGGGGAAACCCUGACGCAGCGACGCCGCGUGGAUGAUGAAGGCCUUCGGGUCGUAAAAUCCUGUCAGAAGGAAAGAAGUGUAUGGUAGCUAAUAUCUGCCAUACUUGACGGUACCUUCAAAGGAAGCACCGGCUAACUCCGUGCCAGCAGCCGCGGUAAUACGGAGGGUGCAAGCGUUGUUCGGAAUUACUGGGCGUAAAGCGCGCGUAGGCGGUUUUAUAAGUCAGAUGUGAAAGUCCACGGCUCAACCAUGGAAGUGCAUUUGAAACUGUAAGACUUGAGUAUUGGAGGGGGUAGUGGAAUUCCCGGUGUAGAGGUGAAAUUCGUAGAUAUCGGGAGGAAUACCGGUGGCGAAGGCGACUAUCUGGCCAAAUACUGACGCUGAGGUGCGAAAGCGCGGGGAGCAAACAGGAUUAGAUACCCCGGUAGUC